Molecule: ribosomal RNA, 300 nt
Filed under: uncultured Gammaproteobacteria bacterium
Lineage: Bacteria; Pseudomonadati; Pseudomonadota; Gammaproteobacteria
Description: bacterial SSU rRNA
Rfam family: Bacterial small subunit ribosomal RNA
Source: RNAcentral
GCUUGGGGAGUCUGCCCUGUUGUGGGGAGUAACGAGUUGGAACGACUGCUAAUACCGCAUAAUAUUUACGGUAUCAAAGGUAGGCCUCUCCUUGGAAGCUAUCGCAAUAGGAUGAACCCAAGUGGGAUUAGCUAGUUGGUGAGGUAAUGGCUCACCAAGGCGACGAUCCCUAGCUGGUCUGAGAGGAUGAUCAGCCACACUGGAACUGAGACACGGUCCAGACUCCUACGGGAGGCAGCAGUGGGGAAUAUUGCACAAUGGGCGAAAGCCUGAUGCAGCCAUGCCGCGUGUGUGAAGAAG